This 221-nucleotide long non-coding RNA is filed under the name Elaeis guineensis (African oil palm). RNAcentral's name for it is "long non-coding RNA (EGUI_LNC001994)". Lineage: Eukaryota; Viridiplantae; Streptophyta; Magnoliopsida; Arecales; Arecaceae. The record is from RNAcentral.
UCGCCAUCAAUCCAUUGCUUCCUCCGCCUAUAAAAGGGAGACCCAGAUACGUUAUUCUAUAAGCUCAUUUCUUAUCUCAAAACUCUGCUAAAUUCUCCGUUCGAGCACUCCAUUCUUGUUGAGACAGAGAACUGACUUGAGCGUCAGAGGGUCUUGCCGGAGCAACCCCACCUCCGGUUUAGACUUCUUUUGCAGGUCCCGACGGCGACCGCGGCUUCCCC